This 305-nucleotide long non-coding RNA is filed under the name Salmo salar (Atlantic salmon). RNAcentral's name for it is "lncRNA (ENSSSAG00000107112.1)". The record is from RNAcentral. Lineage: Eukaryota; Metazoa; Chordata; Actinopteri; Salmoniformes; Salmonidae.
CACCGUUUCAAUAGACAAUGGAGCUUUUCUGCGAUUUUUAUGCACCCUCAGACAAAUUUGACAAACAAAGCUAAAUUGAAUUUACUACAAAAACGACCCAGUUUAGAGGGCUAAAAGCUAGUUAAAUAGGACAUUCUCACUAAUGGUCUGUUCCAGUGUGACUAGAGCUAUCAUUUGACACCGUUUCAAUAGACAAUGGAGCUUUUCUGCAUUUUUUAUGCACCCCAAGACAAAUUUGACAAACAAAGCUAAAUUGAAUUUACUACAAAAACGACCCAGUUUAGAGGGCUAAAAGCUAGUUAAAU